RNAcentral lists this ribosomal RNA (467 nucleotides) under uncultured bacterium. Its description in RNAcentral is "partial 16S ribosomal RNA". It matches the Rfam family "Bacterial small subunit ribosomal RNA", at positions 28 to 507 of the family's 1533-position model. The record is from RNAcentral.
GAUGAACGCUGGCGGCGUGCUUAACACAUGCAAGUCGAACGGAAAGGCCCAAGCUUGCUUGGGUACUCGAGUGGCGAACGGGUGAGUAACACGUGGGUGAUCUGCCCUGCACUUCGGGAUAAGCCUGGGAAACUGGGUCUAAUACCGGAUAGGACGAUGGUUUGGAUGCCAUUGUGGAAAGUUUUUUCGGUGUGGGAUGAGCUCGCGGCCUAUCAGCUUGUUGGUGGGGUAAUGGCCUACCAAGGCGUCGACGGGUAGCCGGCUGAGAGGGUGUACGGCCACAUUGGGACUGAGAUACGGCCCAGACUCCUACGGGAGGCAGCAGUGGGGAAUAUUGCACAAUGGGCGCAAGCCUGAUGCAGCGACGCCGCGUGGGGGAUGACGGCCUUCGGGUUGUAAACUCCUUUCGCUAGGGACGAAGCGUCUUUGUGACGGUACCUGGAGAAGAAGCACCGGCUAACUACGUG